UAGUUUAUUAUUCCACUGAGAUGCACUUCUCCCUUGCCCCAUAUAUUCCUUUGUGGCCAAUUAUUUGCAUUUCUUUGUGUAAUUAUUCUAUUUUUUACUGUUACCAGAAAUUUAGCAUUGAAAUAUGCUAAGGUAGCAAUUUUGGUAAGCCGUCAAAGCAGCUCCAGGUUUUACUUUGCUAUUGGCCUCUUGCUUGACCUUGAAUAUUUCAUUUGUUGGGACUGCAGGUCAAGCUACAUGAUGGGUUAUAGUGAGUUUCUGACGAGCUGAAGUUCACCAUCAAAUUAGGAAAUAAUUCUAGACAAGGUAGUGGUUGCUGGGGCAGGAGAUUGCAAGGGAGCAGCUGGAUAGUCGAGAGUCAUUGUAGCCUCACUUAUGGAUGGCUAGCUAGGUUAGCCCAUUUCCGGUUCCGCCUAUCCACUAUACACCAUUUUUUUUAAAAGAAACUUUCAAUGUAGUAUAGGAUACAAUGACUUAGCUACAUUUCAGUCGGUACCAAAAUAAAAAGGCAAGUGUUUGUCAGA
Molecule: long non-coding RNA, 524 nt
Organism: Panicum virgatum (switchgrass)
Lineage: Eukaryota; Viridiplantae; Streptophyta; Magnoliopsida; Poales; Poaceae
Exons: 2
Source: RefSeq, a predicted model, not a curated record